This 446-nucleotide ribosomal RNA is filed under the name uncultured bacterium. RNAcentral's name for it is "partial 16S ribosomal RNA". It matches the Rfam family "Bacterial small subunit ribosomal RNA", at positions 338 to 795 of the family's 1533-position model. The record is from RNAcentral.
CCUACGGGAGGCAGCAGUCGAGAAUCAUUCACAAUGGGGGAAACCCUGAUGGUGCGACGCCGCGUGGGGGAAUGAAGGUCUUCGGAUUGUAAACCCCUGUCAUGUGGGAGCAAAUUAAAAAGAUAGUACCACAAGAGGAAGAGACGGCUAACUCUGUGCCAGCAGCCGCGGUAAUACAGAGGUCUCAAGCGUUGUUCGGAAUCACUGGGCGUAAAGCGUGCGUAGGCUGUUUCGUAAGUCGUGUGUGAAAGGCGCGGGCUCAACCCGCGGACGGCACAUGAUACUGCGAGACUAGAGUAAUGGAGGAAGAACCGGAAUUCUCGGUGUAGCAGGGAAAUGCGGAGAUAUCGAGAGGAACACUCGUGGCGAAGGCGGGUUCCUGGACAUUAACUGACGCUGAGGCACGAAGGCCAGGGGAGCGAAAGGGAUUAGAUACCCUGGUAGUC